AGUGAACGCUGGCGGCGGGCCUAAUACAUGCAAGUCGAACGAACAGACGGUAAGCGUUUGCCUCUGCCGUUGGCGGGUGACGGGCGGGUAACGCGUAGAUAGCCUACUUCUAAUUCGUGGGGGACUUCGUGAAACCGGUUCUAAUACCGCAGAAUAUGUUGUACGGGAGAAUUCAAUGGUUAAUGGCGGCUUUCGUGUCACUUAGAGACGAAGCCGCGUCGGAUUAGCUGGUUGGUAAGGUAACGGCUUACCAAGGCAACGAUGCGUAGCUGAUCUGAGAGGGUGAUCAGCCACACUGGAACUGAGACACGGUCCAGACUCCUACGGGAGGCAGCAGUAGGGAAUAUUCGGCAAUGGGCGAAAGCUUGAUGCAGCCACACCGCGUGAGUGAUGAAGGUCUUCGGAUCGUAAAGCUCUGUUAUUGGGAAAGAAAAACUGUGGAUGAAACCCCCGCUGUCUUGACGGUACCCAAUCAGAAAGCAACGGCUAACUUCGUG
RNAcentral lists this ribosomal RNA (497 nucleotides) under uncultured bacterium. RNAcentral's name for it is "partial 16S ribosomal RNA". It matches the Rfam family "Bacterial small subunit ribosomal RNA", at positions 29 to 507 of the family's 1533-position model. The record is from RNAcentral.